CCGGAGCGGGUUGGCCUGUGCCUUGCUCGACAGGUGGCGCUAGUUGUGGACACAGGUGGCGACGAUGUCCCUACUGACCAUUGGAUGGUGGCGCCACCCUAAGCCAGUGGUGGCGCAGAAAGUCCAGUGCGCCGCCCAUCGACGUGGCGUUUUUUGGCUGUGUGGCGCCGGCGUGAGACGCAUGGAGUUUGUGCGCCGCCGUUCGCCACAAUGUGAUUCGGUGGAAAAACUUUGAAACCUACCUACAUUCUACAUUCUACGUUCUACGUUACUACACCGCUACUACUUCUAUCUACGGCCCGCAUUUCUUCGCUAUGCCGCUGUCUUAUUUGUCCGUUCCUACCACCAAUUGUUCACCUAAACAACUUCGCCUUACCAUAUCGUUUUCGCCGUUGGCACGCUGCCAGAUGACCCUUUUGCCAUGAAAGCCUGAAUAUAUUAUUUAUUUGUUUUUA
Molecule: long non-coding RNA, 455 nt
Organism: Amphibalanus amphitrite
Lineage: Eukaryota; Metazoa; Arthropoda; Thecostraca; Balanomorpha; Balanidae
Exons: 2
Source: RefSeq, a predicted model, not a curated record